This is a long non-coding RNA of Girardinichthys multiradiatus, 1172 nucleotides long. RefSeq lists it as uncharacterized. The record is from RefSeq and is a predicted model, not a curated record. The transcript is spliced from 6 exons. NCBI's taxonomy places the organism in Eukaryota, Metazoa, Chordata, Actinopteri, Cyprinodontiformes, Goodeidae.
CGGUUUCUGUGGAUGUUUGUUUCAUGGAGACAGUCAUGAAGAAGGGAAAUUUGGUGCUAAUAGAGAAACCCAUUAGGUUCUGGUUAACAGAUCGGUUUCCAGCUGUGAGGGGCCUCAGUUCAGCUUCCGGUGCGGCAGGAAGGAGUUCCACACUGAAAGACGCACACAUGGGAGAAGAUGCAGGAAGCUGACAUGUCUGAAACUGAAGAGACUUGGAGGAUCAACACUGAAAACAUCUUCAGCAGCUGUUUGAUUUGAACUGUUUCACUAAUCUCAACAGCUGACAGGUCGGGAAGGCCAGGAGCAAGCAGGACCGUCUGAAACUCAAAGGACCCAGCCUCCCACCACUUCGCUUGAGCCUUUAUCUUCUUCUUUGAGACCUGGCAAGUUGAUGCAUUACCAGCUGGUCCGCCUACACUCAGACCCUCCCCCUGACAAACGUUGCCCACUGCCACAACUGGAGCCCAUCACUGGGGCUGGCUGACAGCCAGCCUGCCAGAUGUGAAGGACUCUCUGCGGCGUCUAUAAUCCGUCAGAAACACAAACCUCAGAUUCCCCUUGUGUAAAGCAGCCUUCUUCGAGACCCUGCUAUUAGUGGCUUUGUGGGCCAGAGUGGCGACAUCUUAAUGUCAGACAGACACAGAAGGGGCUACAGGACCCCUGCGUUCCAUGCACUGAAAACACAGCUGACUGCAGGGCAUGUGGAUUAUUAAAGAUAUACUCUACCAUCAACCACCAACACAGAGUUUUAAAUGUUUUUACAAGAGGCUGUGCAAAAUUUGUGACAUGUACAGUGUAGAGCAUCCCCACAUUAAUUAUAAAUGCAAGUCAUGACUGUAACUGAACGGUGGAUCUGAUGAAAAUUCAAAACAGGAAGUCUUUACCAAAAGUUAAAAAACACUUACCCUUGAGAUUUUACAAUAUUUGUGGAAUUAUUCCCACAGUCAUUUAGCCUAAUUCAGCAACAAACAGGAGAAUGAGCUCAGGACAAACUGUUUCUUCAUUUAAAAAAUCUUUAAUGUGAAAAAAAAAGUUUAACUUCUGUUGGUCAUACAUGGAAUGUAGAGCGAGCGUAGCCUACAUCAUUUAAUCACUAUUUAUGUGAACCUGGACAAGAGGUAGAGGGCAAAUUCUUUUCUAUUACUGCCUUGCCUUGUGUGGUUCUGGGUAAA